This 918-nucleotide long non-coding RNA is filed under the name Lotus japonicus. RNAcentral describes it as "long non-coding RNA (LJAP_LNC001420)". Lineage: Eukaryota; Viridiplantae; Streptophyta; Magnoliopsida; Fabales; Fabaceae. The record is from RNAcentral.
GUAAUGCCAUAUUUGGUUUGGAUCCAUAAUCCAUAUUGUAUUUGUAACACCGAAUGUUAGUUUGAAAUUUUAUUUACUUCAAGCUCACAUUUUAAACUAAAAUUAAGUUUUACAAAAAACGUUCACCCAAACAGAAACAGAAUAUUAUGUUUUGUUAGUAUGCACCAAAAAAGAAUGUGCUUUGUUAGUGAUUUAAGUUAAUUUAUAAUUUAUUUGACUAGUUUAUAUAACUGUUUAAACAAAAUAGUAAGCUCCUCCAGGCAGCUUGCAUCUUUGCUAUUUUUCAAUACCUUAUUAAUUGUCCAAAUACUCAUAUUUAAUCAAUCAAAUAAUUUAACAACUUUCAAUUUUGAGUCAGAACUUAGUUUCCAUCUUUCAUCAUCAAAUUUAUAAGUUAGUUUUAGUACAUGAUACGUCUUAGAGAAUCACAAUAAAACCAAAAUUACAAUGAAAAAUUACAAAAGUUAAGGGAAUUUACUUUUGUUCAUUAUGAUUUUGACUUCACAGUGAUUUUUCAAGGUGUACCUAAACACAAUAAAACCAAAAUUACAAUGAAAAAUUACAAAAGUUAAGGAAAUUUACUUUUGUUCAUUAUGAUUUUGACUUCACAGUGAUUUUUCAAGGUGUACCUAAACAUAUAUAAGUGCAUAUUACUUUCUAUUAAUUGAUUAUGAGCAAAUUGAACUGGAUUCAAACAUGCCACUAGCAAACAAUUCUAGUAGCAUUAAUAGAAAGGGACAGGCAUAGUGCAUGAUUGUUAUAUGCUUACUAGAAACUUCUGCAUUGGGGCAGUGUACGGACGUUGGACUUGUUAAGAGAAGGUUAGAGGAAAGAGGGAUGAGGUAUGUGACAGCUGUGGUAGAGGAUGAAGGAAUCAAGGUGGACCAGGUGUUCUUCCAUGACCCUGAUGGCUACAUG